GUCUUUGGCCAUACCAGCCUGAACGCGCACGACCCCGUCUCCUCUCGGAAGCUAAGCAGGGUCGGGCCUGCGUAGUACUUGGAUGGGAGACCGCCUGGGAACACCGGGUGCUGUAGGCU
This 119-nucleotide ribosomal RNA is filed under the name Moschus moschiferus (Siberian musk deer). Lineage: Eukaryota; Metazoa; Chordata; Mammalia; Artiodactyla; Moschidae. The record is from RNAcentral.